GGAUUGAUGAUCGAGUGGUUUAUGGUGUAAUAUUUGAGAUAUUAAGUACUUUUAUAGUACCGUAGGUUCGAAUCCUACUCAAUCCG
This 86-nucleotide transfer RNA is filed under the name Corynebacterium amycolatum. Its description in RNAcentral is "tRNA-Ser". It matches the Rfam family "tRNA". Rfam says of the family: Transfer RNA (tRNA) molecules are approximately 80 nucleotides in length. Lineage: Bacteria; Bacillati; Actinomycetota; Actinomycetes; Mycobacteriales; Corynebacteriaceae. RNAcentral also lists the same sequence under 2 other names. The record is from RNAcentral.